GGUUAAGCGACUAAGCGUACACGGUGGAUGCCCUGGCAGUCAGAGGCGAUGAAGGACGUGCUAAUCUGCGAUAAGCGUCGGUAAGGUGAUAUGAACCGUUAUAACCGGCGAUUUCCGAAUGGGGAAACCCAGUGUGUUUCGACACACUAUCAUUAACUGAAUCCAUAGGUUAAUGAGGCGAACCGGGGGAACUGAAACAUCUAAGUACCCCGAGGAAAAGAAAUCAACCGAGAUUCCCCCAGUAGCGGCGAGCGAACGGGGAGCAGCCCAGAGCCUGAAUCAGUGUGUGUGUUAGUGGAAGCGUCUGGAAAGGCGCGCGAUACAGGGUGACAGCCCCGUACACAAAAAUGCACAUGCUGUGAGCUCGAUGAGUAGGGCGGGACACGUGGUAUCCUGUCUGAAUAUGGGGGGACCAUCCUCCAAGGCUAAAUACUCCUGACUGACCGAUAGUGAACCAGUACCGUGAGGGAAAGGCGAAAAGAACCCCGGCGAGGGGAGUGAAAAAGAACCUGAAACCGUGUACGUACAAGCAGUGGGAGCACGCUUAGGCGUGUGACUGCGUACCUUUUGUAUAAUGGGUCAGCGACUUAUAUUCUGUAGCAAGGUUAACCGAAUAGGGGAGCCGAAGGGAAACCGAGUCUUAACUGGGCGUUAAGUUGCAGGGUAUAGACCCGAAACCCGGUGAUCUAGCCAUGGGCAGGUUGAAGGUUGGGUAACACUAACUGGAGGACCGAACCGACUAAUGUUGAAAAAUUAGCGGAUGACUUGUGGCUGGGGGUGAAAGGCCAAUCAAACCGGGAGAUAGCUGGUUCUCCCCGAAAGCUAUUUAGGUAGCGCCUCGUGAAUUCAUCUCCGGGGGUAGAGCACUGUUUCGGCAAGGGGGUCAUCCCGACUUACCAACCCGAUGCAAACUGCGAAUACCGGAGAAUGUUAUCACGGGAGACACACGGCGGGUGCUAACGUCCGUCGUGAAGAGGGAAACAACCCAGACCGCCAGCUAAGGUCCCAAAGUCAUGGUUAAGUGGGAAACGAUGUGGGAAGGCCCAGACAGCCAGGAUGUUGGCUUAGAAGCAGCCAUCAUUUAAAGAAAGCGUAAUAGCUCACUGGUCGAGUCGGCCUGCGCGGAAGAUGUAACGGGGCUAAACCAUGCACCGAAGCUGCGGCAGCGACGCUGAUGCGUUGUUGGGUAGGGGAGCGUUCUGUAAGCCUGCGAAGGUGUGCUGUGAGGCAUGCUGGAGGUAUCAGAAGUGCGAAUGCUGACAUAAGUAACGAUAAAGCGGGUGAAAAGCCCGCUCGCCGGAAGACCAAGGGUUCCUGUCCAACGUUAAUCGGGGCAGGGUGAGUCGACCCCUAAGGCGAGGCCGAAAGGCGUAGUCGAUGGGAAACAGGUUAAUAUUCCUGUACUUGGUGUUACUGCGAAGGGGGGACGGAGAAGGCUAUGUUGGCCGGGCGACGGUUGUCCCGGUUUAAGCGUGUAGGCUGGUUUUCCAGGCAAAUCCGGAAAAUCAAGGCUGAGGCGUGAUGACGAGGCACUACGGUGCUGAAGCAACAAAUGCCCUGCUUCCAGGAAAAGCCUCUAAGCAUCAGGUAACAUCAAAUCGUACCCCAAACCGACACAGGUGGUCAGGUAGAGAAUACCAAGGCGCUUGAGAGAACUCGGGUGAAGGAACUAGGCAAAAUGGUGCCGUAACUUCGGGAGAAGGCACGCUGAUAUGUAGGUGAAGUCCCUUGCGGAUGGAGCUGAAAUCAGUCGAAGAUACCAGCUGGCUGCAACU
This 1775-nucleotide ribosomal RNA is filed under the name Escherichia coli. Its description in RNAcentral is "partial 23S ribosomal RNA". It matches the Rfam family "Bacterial large subunit ribosomal RNA", at positions 1 to 1801 of the family's 2925-position model. The record is from RNAcentral. Lineage: Bacteria; Pseudomonadati; Pseudomonadota; Gammaproteobacteria; Enterobacterales; Enterobacteriaceae.